ACGGGAAGGUCCAUUUCACCUAUUGAAAAAGACAGCAAGUGAGUAGUGUUACCACUAUUAAAUCUGACGUUUCAUGAAUGAGUCUUUUCACUUUCAUGGCUGAAGAAGCAGCAUCUCUUAUAAUGAGGGUUAGGGUUUGGAUUACCCUGAGGAUUAGGGUAAGGGUUAAGUCAUGCUUGCAUCCCCGUUUUGGCAAGGGAGGAACGUCACACCUGACCCCCGCCACCCUCCUUGUGGAAGGGUGUUCAGGCAUGCAGCCUGCCUCCCCUCCACAAGGGAGUAGUGAUGCCACUACUUAAUGUGUUGUUUCCUGAAUGGCUCUUUUCCCUUUCACAGCUGAAGAUGCAGGCAUUUCUUAAGGUAAGUGUUAUGGUUAGGAUUGCCGUUCAUGGUUAGGGUAAGGGAUAGGCCAUGCCUGCACCCUCCCUUGGAGUGGGAGGGCGUUCACACAUGAGCCAUGCCCCCCUCAUCUUGGGAGGGUGUUCACCAAUAGGAACCAGUCCCCUUCAGCGGGGGGGCUGUUGAUGUAUGCGCCUGCACCCAUCUCGUGUGUGAGGGUGUUCAUGCAUGGACACCACAACCCUUGGCGAGGGAGGGCAUUUGUCCAUGCACCAUGCCCUCCUUGGCUCAGGAGGUGUUCACGCAUGAGCACAGUGCCCCCUUGGCUUGAGAAGGUGUUCAGGUAUGUGCAUGAACCUGCCCCCCAGCGUGGGAGGGGGUUCACACAUGUGCCCUCCCCCCUCAGGCGCUGGAGGGGGUCACCUGUGCACAGCACCACUAGUCAGCAAGGGAGUAGUGAUGCCACUAUUAAAUCUGACAUUUCAUGGACGGCUGUUUUCACUUUCACAGCUGAAGAAGCAUGCUUCUCUUAAGGUCAGGGGUAGGGUUAGCAUUACAGUUAGGGGUUAAGAUAAGGGCUAGGUCAUACUUGCUCUCCCCCCUCAGCACGGGAAGACUUCAUGCAUCACCCCACUAUCCUGAGCAAGGGAGAGUGUUCACCCUUUCACCCCAAUCCCUGAGAGUGGUAAAAUAUUGAAGCACGUGCUCCACUCCACUUCCGCUGGGGAGGGCUUUCACACAUGCGUAGAUCCCCCCUUCGGGACAGAUUGUUCACAUAUGUGCAUGACCACCUGUCGGGUCGGGAGGGUGUUCAAUCGCGGGCACACCCCACCUCUGCAUGGGAGAUGGUUCAUGCAUGUGUCUUGCUCACCUCAGCAGGGAAGGUUUUUACGCAUGUGCACAGCCCCACCUUGGUGUGGGAGGAGGUCACCCAUGCAGAGCGCCACCCUUAAAUGAGGGAAUAGUGAUGCCAUUAUUAAAUGUGACGUUUCAUGAAUGGUUCUUUUCAAUUUCACAGCUGAAGUAGCAGACAACUCUUAAGCUGAAGAAGCAUGCAUCACUUAAGCUGAAGAAACACAGCUGAAGAAACGCGGCCAGGGAGGGCGUUGACGUAUGCUCCCCGCUCCCCUUGCCAGGAUGCUGUUCACGCAUGUGCAAAGUCCCCCCUCCUUGCCAAAGGGGGUUCAGGCAUGCCCACAACCCCCGCUCUGUGAGGCAGACCAUUUGUACAGGCACACGACCCUCCCUCAGCAAGGGACAGUGUUCAUGCUUGGCCCCACUCACCUCGGUGGGAAGGGUGUUCACACAUGCACAUAAGCCCCCUCAGCAUUGGAGGCGUUCAAACAUGUGCCUCACCCCACUUGACGCCAGAGGUGGUUCAGGAUUCUGCCUUGCCCCUGGUUGGUGUGUGAGAUGGUCACCCAUGCACAGUGCCACCUUUUAGGGAGAGAGUAGUGAUGUCACUAUUAAAUGUGAUAUUUCACGAAUGGUUCUUUCACUUUCACAGCUGAAGAAACACACAUCUCUUAAGACUUGCAUCUUCCCUCUACCUCUAUACUCCAAGUUCCUGGCUGGCACUGGAAUUACAUCUUUAGCACGGACAUCAUAACCUCCAGGUGAGAUUCAGGCUUGUUUCCGGGAAGAAACCCUGACAGAAAUUCAGAAGAACAGGAGCUGCAUUCCGUUAGGACAUGAAUACAUGAAAUGCUCGUCUUGGGAACUCCUAGAAGAAUGAGCUGGGACCCACUUUCCGAGUCCUGCUAGAACCAGUGACCGAGAAAAUAAAAACGCCCUGGAAGACAAGUGUAAUGCAUUGAGGUCUGUGAAAGCCACAAAGGAAGCAAAAGUCAAACAGCUGAAAGAGAAAGCACAUAACCUGGAAGAAUUCUAUGAACAAAGAAAAGUGCCUACAAAAAAGGUAAGAUGGGGGCGCUUGGGUGGCUCAGUCGGUUGAACGCCCAAAUUCGGCUCAGGUCAUGAUCUCACAGUCCAUAAGCUCAAGCCCCAUGUCGGGCUCUGUGUUGACAGUUCAGAGCCUGGAGCUUGCUUUGGAUUCUAUAUCUUCCUCUGGCCCUACCCAACUCGCACUCUGUCUCUAUCAAAAAAUGAAUAAACGUUAACAAAAAUUUAGAAAAGUAAGAUGUUCAUGUGAGAACUGUC
Long non-coding RNA from Acinonyx jubatus (cheetah), 2499 nucleotides. RefSeq lists it as uncharacterized. Lineage: Eukaryota; Metazoa; Chordata; Mammalia; Carnivora; Felidae. The transcript is spliced from 6 exons. The record is from RefSeq and is a predicted model, not a curated record.